This 79-nucleotide transfer RNA is filed under the name Streptomyces noursei. RNAcentral describes it as "tRNA-Arg". The record is from RNAcentral. Lineage: Bacteria; Bacillati; Actinomycetota; Actinomycetes; Kitasatosporales; Streptomycetaceae.
CCGGCGGUUCGCCGGUGGGGUGGUCGGCGGCUUCGGGCUGCUGGCCCUCGGCGCCUCCGGUGCCUUCGGAGUCGUCGGG